Molecule: ribosomal RNA, 229 nt
Filed under: uncultured bacterium
Lineage: Bacteria
Description: partial 16S ribosomal RNA
Rfam family: Bacterial small subunit ribosomal RNA
Source: RNAcentral
UCCGUAGGUGGAUAAUUAAGUCAGAGGUGAAAUCCUGCAGCUCAACUGUAGAAUUGCCUUUGAUACUGGUUAUCUUGAGUCAUUAUGAAGUGGUUAGAAUGUGUAGUGUAGCGGUGAAAUGCAUAGAUAUUACACAGAAUACCAAUUGCGAAGGCAGAUCACUAAUAAUGUACUGACACUGAGGGACGAAAGCGUGGGGAGCGAACAGGAUUAGAUACCCUGGUAGUCC